GUCCACGCCGUAAACGAUGAGUGCUAUACGUCGGACGUAAGUUCGGUGUUGAAGCUAACGCAAUAAGCACUCCGCCUGGGGACUACGAUCGCAAGAUUAAAACUCAAAGGAAUUGACGGGGCCGCACAAGUGGUGGAGCAUGUGGUUUAAUUCGAUACUACGCGAAGAAACUUACCAACCUUUGACAUAUUGAGUGUGGAACUUGGAAACUUGUUCCUUCAGUUCGGCUGGCUCAUUACAGGUGUUGCAUGGCUGUCGU
RNAcentral lists this ribosomal RNA (259 nucleotides) under uncultured bacterium. RNAcentral describes it as "partial 16S ribosomal RNA". It matches the Rfam family "Bacterial small subunit ribosomal RNA", at positions 793 to 1055 of the family's 1533-position model. The record is from RNAcentral.